This 1655-nucleotide long non-coding RNA is filed under the name Homo sapiens (human). RNAcentral's name for it is "HSALNT0253148". The record is from RNAcentral. Lineage: Eukaryota; Metazoa; Chordata; Mammalia; Primates; Hominidae.
GUGAGUAAGCAAACAGGAAAAACUGAUGACGAAUUGACAAUCCAUGUAUUUAUCCACCCAUUUAAAGUAACUUGCUGAGCGCCUACCUAGCUGCACAAGAAGCUCAGGGCCUGAAGAUGAACACGCAGAGGCUGUGUGCAGGGGCAUGAGCUUACAGCUGGAAUUAGAGAUAAAGGAAAAGGCACCUGAGCCCUGUGACAUGCGGGGGGUCAGGGGAGGUGGGACAUAUGUGGCCUCGUAGCCAGAGCCCCGCCUGUUUCCCAGGACAUUCUGAAUACGGGUGAGAGACUGCGCGUUGGACAAUCACUAUGGAUCGCCUGCUGAAGCUAAUAAUGAAUCACCCAUCCCUGAUUAGAAGGUGCUUCCGAAACGUAUAACUGCCAUCCGAGAGAACUUUUUUCUUCAUGUAAAAUGAUAUCACCCUAGAGGAGGAGAAAACGAAUUGUAUUCUUCAACAAGAUGGAACAGGAGGAGGUUGCUUAAGUGAGCUGUGUGCUCUCUUAAAUUAUGGGCUAAUAUUAAACAGCCAAAGAAGUGAAAACUUACAGAUUUUUAGUUUGCUAAAUGAAUGACCUUUCUUGUUCCCUAAUUCUCUUCCUAGAACCAGCUCUGGGUUAGAAAUCCAAGCUGGUUCUUGGAUGCUUUCCUUAUGCCAUCAUUUUAUCUUUUGUUCAGGAAAAAGAAGUUCGGUAGGACCGAGACACAAAUGCCAUGUGGGGAGCAGCCCCUUGCUUCUUACAGCAGAGGUGGGCUGGGGCUGCCUGGCCCUGCGGAGGCCUUGCUGUGCCCCACGAGAGAAUAGGGUAGAGAGACCGGGACUUGGGUAGAGAUGACCGGGAUUCCUCCCCGUCCACCUCCUAGGACUUUUGACAGAGCUUUGGUUGACUGAACUUUCCCAUCUGUGCACUUCCUUGUAAAAUCUAGUUUCAGCAAGAACCCUGCCAAAUCGGUUUAGCCAGAAAUCCUGGCGAGAACUCUAACCUUAACCCUCCAUGUCUGCUCACUCAUAAGAUCUAACCAGGUUCCUUAUCCUAUCACGCCCCCUCCGCCUCAGGUGGAAUCUGACGGCCCUGGCCUCGCUUCAGCAAGAAUCCAGUCCUGUGGGCUUGGGCAUAAUCCCCUUCCCCGUGCGUCCUUUUAGCCAUCUUCCAUCCACCAGUGCCUGCUCCCCUUCCCUGUGCGUACUUUUAGCCAUCUUCUAUCCACCAGUGCCCGCUCCCCUUCCCUGUGCGCCCUUUUAGUCAUCUUCCAACCACCAGUGCGUCCCUUUAGCCAUCUUCCAUCCACCAGUGCCCGCUCCCCUUCCCCCUGCGUCCUUUUAGUCAUCUUCCAUCCACCAGUGCCUGCCCCCACAACUUCUUGGCUGUAAACCUUCGCUUGCUCCUGUAUUCAGAACCGAGCCCAGUUCUGUGCCCAGGUCUUUUUUCCCCUACUGACAUUUUCCUGAAUAAAAUCUGGGUUUUACCUGUGCAACUACUGUCCAGCUCUGGUUUUUCUGUGAUACUCUGCGGUCCCAUUUCUGAACAGAGCUUAUAAAUGGCAGUGGAGUUUCCAGCCCUGCACUCAUAGAAGCUUGUAAAGGGCAGUGGAGUUUCCAGCUCCACACUCAUAGAACCUUGUAAAGGGCAGUGGAGCUUCCAGCCCCGCGCUCAUAG